Molecule: long non-coding RNA, 421 nt
Organism: Biomphalaria glabrata
Lineage: Eukaryota; Metazoa; Mollusca; Gastropoda; Planorbidae
Exons: 3
Source: RefSeq, a predicted model, not a curated record
AUAGACUAUAUAUUACAUGGACUGCCAACUCUACGCACUAAGCCUAUAUUUUUCAAUAAACAAGUCCCGUUCACAGAGGCGUCCUUGGUUGCAAGGUAAAUUGACUUCCGGUAGAUUUUUUUUACUAUAUAAAGAAACCAUUCCCGAAGAUUUUAUACCACCACUUUUACAGCAAAUCAUGAAUGGAAACUGAACUGUUAUAGAAGAUGUUACAAAGGAGCAUACUACUUCCAAAAACCUGAUUUGAUUGUCACUAACUUUCAAAUUGAAAGGGAUCUACUAAAACUGCUCAUGAAUUUUGAGAUUUUACAGCUAAUAGAGGAACAAAUUUUAUCUGCUUCCACUUAGACAAACAUUUGUAAUGAGUAGAAGAUCUUUGUCAUUUAGAGUAUCAUGUGUCAUUGACUUAUGAAAACAAAAU